CCUGAUCUGGAUUCCUGCCACAACCCCUCUAAGUCUGCGCACCUCCAGCCCUGCCACUUUGCGAAGCCUCUUCACACUGCAGCCUGCUCAUUGCCCUUGGGACCAAGUCUCUGCCUCUUGGUUGGCCACCCAAGGCCCCGGUCUGAUUCCUGCCUCCCCCCGUUCCUUUUGUCCUGUCCACGCUGCUCCAGUCCUCAGGCUCAGAAAACAUCUUGCACGUUCCCCUCUCUGUCUUUGCCCAAGAAGGAUUUGUCAUUCACUCCUAUGGGUUUCUCAUUUAUUAUUAUUGUUAUUGUUGUUGUCAUUUCUGCCGAUGCACUCAAAUCUCUUUCCGUAGAGAUUCAAAGGCCCCUGUCCUCCUAGAUUGGAGAACUCUUGAGGGCCCCCCCAUGCCCAAGUGUGGAAUCAGCUCACAUGACAGAUGCUCGAGAAAGGUUUCCAGGGCUUCAUGCUUUCUGGAAAAAGUAAAUGUACUUGGAAUCAUCACUACCAGAAGCUUAGGGCUUGAGGGCUUCCAAUUUUACUAGUGGGAGAUUGCAGGGAUUAGUCCUUUAAGUUUCUAGGGCCUUGCUGAGAGAGCUCCUGCUUUAUUACCCCAUCUGCUCAGUGUUGGGGUGUGUGGAGGUCGAUAGCCCGCCAGCCUGGACCUCCCUCAUCCCUCUGCAGAGCCCGAUGUGAACCUUGGAUGGCCUGCUUUUCCUAUAUGUGGCCUCGAGCAUCCUCUGGGAGAGCCAGGAGGCUUGCCAUCACCUUCCCCUUCUUAAUGUAAGUGGAAUCUAUGGAGGACUUCUCUGGUGGUUCAGAGGUUAAAACUCCAUGCUUCCACUGCAGAGGGUGCUGGUUUAAUCCCUAAUGGGUAACUAAUAUCCCACAUGCCAUGUGAUAAGGCCUAUAUAUAUAUAUAUAUAUAUAUAUGGUUAUGUGUGUUUGUGUGCAUGUAUAUGUAUGUAUAUGUAUAUAUAUGGAAUGUAUGGGCCAUGCUCUUUUCUCUGACCAGUUGACAGUGAUGGAUGCUGGGAGGACAGAUGUAUGUCUAAGUGGUAGACAUCUUUCAGAGCCCUGUUGUGUCUGGAGCUCAUGGGUAGGGGCUGUCUGUCAUAAGAUUACAAAAUCCACAAGAAAAGAAAAUAUCUGGAGAAACCCUUAGGACAAGCAGUCCCCCUGGUGCCCUCCACCUCCCAAAGUGAUUGGCUGACAUUGAUAAUUCAUUGAUAACAGUUCACUGAUAAUCUGAAACCACAGGGCCCACAGAGUGGUUCACCAUAUUUCCUGCCCCCUGCUUCUGGUCACUCCAGUUAAUACAAGUAAUUCAAGAUGUCCAGCUUCCUCAUGCAGCCCCAGCUGGCUCUGGGCUCCUCCUGUGUGGGUUGUCCAGUUAUCUUAGAAAGGGGAAGAGAGAGAACUUGGCAGAGUAUCAUUUACUCCAAAUAGUCACUCUCCCAUUCUGCGCAUAAGCAAUUUCCUAACACUAGAACCAAAGAAAGUUCACUGGGCAUUGGAGAAAUUGAAAAGGAUCCAGGCUAUGUGGCCCUGGGCUAGCCCUUGGCCGUCUCUGGGUCUUCACACUCUGAUCAGUAAAUGUAUAGAAGGAGACGACUGCCCUGUGGAGUGGUGGUAUCUGGAGAGAGGUCUGAACUAGGAGGAAAGGGAGGGAAGUCCCUCCUUGGCUAUUUGGUGCUCUAGUUAUCACUAUUAAUAGCAAUGGUCCAUGGGCUAUGACUAUCUCUAAAAUAGAGAAAAUGUUACUUCACAGCGUUGCUGGAACCAUUAUAUGAGAUAGUGCCUGGCUGUGUCUAAUACCUGGAAUUAUUGUCUGUAAUGACACCCUUUCUCAGGGUUUGGAUGAAAUCGGGUUAAUAAUUCAGCCUCCUUUCUGGAAGUGGUGGUGGUCUCAGGAGGUGCUGGUCAUGGGAGGGCUGUGAUCAAGUGAGGAUGGGAGAUGGAGUGGCCUGGACAGGGCUCACCCCCACUCCCCCGCCCAGUGAAGAAGAAACGCUGGCAGGAGGCCGGGCUGGAGUGGCAUGGGUGUGCGUGGGGGGUGGGGUGAGUGCAGUCACCAAGGGGGCCGGCAGCUGUGCGGGUCCUGGGCCCUCACUCACAAUUGGAGGAAGGAGUUCAGGAAGUGCUCACAGCCGCUCAGACAUCUCAGAGCCUCGUCCCAGGCAGCACCAAGGCCGAGGCACCCAGGGAUGAGCGUGCCAUGGCCUGGGCCCUGGGGUGGUCAUCAGGUCAGGAGGCCCCGGCACUGCGUACAGCCAUAGCUGCCCCUCUGCCAGCCCGGGCUCCUGCAUCCAAGGAGUCUUGAGCUUAUGUUUUUCAGGACAGCGCUUCUUCCAGAGCUGCCAGUGGAGUUGCCCACGGCUCUUGGAAGCCUGGCCCAAGGCUGAGAAAAGUGACAGAGGCCACUAAAGUCGGAGUAGAGCCAUGUGGGGUGCCCAACGGCCCAGAGCGGGUACCAGCCAGGGCCUCAGACCAGUAUCUCCUUAGAAGACCACAGGGAGAGCAGCCGGAGGAGCAAGCCAUCACCAGCAGCUCCUCGCUUCGGAUGGGGAGCGAGUGAGGUCCAAAACACACCCUGGGCUGCUCAGUGGUCC
This is an RNA transcript of Dama dama (fallow deer), 2594 nucleotides long. It is a transcript of the gene named small regulatory polypeptide of amino acid response, with no coding region annotated. The transcript is spliced from 2 exons. The record is from RefSeq and is a predicted model, not a curated record. Lineage: Eukaryota; Metazoa; Chordata; Mammalia; Artiodactyla; Cervidae.